RNAcentral lists this ribosomal RNA (497 nucleotides) under uncultured bacterium. RNAcentral describes it as "partial 16S ribosomal RNA". It matches the Rfam family "Bacterial small subunit ribosomal RNA", at positions 28 to 507 of the family's 1533-position model. The record is from RNAcentral.
GAUGAACGCUGGCGGCGUGCCUAAUACAUGCAAGUCGAGCGAACAGACGAGGCGCUUGCUCCUCUGACGUUAGCGGCGGACGGGUGAGUAACACGUGGAUAACCUCCCUAUAAGACUGGGAUAACUUCGGGAAACCGGAGAUAAUACCGGAUAAUAUAUUGAACCGCAUGGGUCAAUGGUGAAAGACGGUUUUGCUGUCUCUUCUAGAUGCAUCCGCGCCGGAUUAGCUAGUUGGUAAGUUCACGGCUUACCAAGGCGACGAUGCGUAGCCGACCGGAGAGGGUGAUCGGCCACACUGGAACUGAGACACGGUCCAGACUCCUACGGGAGGCAGCAGUAGGGAAUCUGCCGCAGUGGGCGAAAGCCUGACGGAGCAACGCCGCGUGAGUGAUGAAGGUCUUCGGAUCGUAAAACUCUGUUAUUAGGGAAGAACAAAUGUGUAAGUAACUAUGCACGUCUUGACGGUACCUAAUCAGAAAGCCACGGCUAACUACGUG